GAAAUGCGAUACGUCAUGCGAAUUGCAGAACCUAGUGAGUCAUCAAAAUUUUGAACGCAACUUGCACUUCCCUUCGGGGAAGUAUGUCUGUUGGAGUGUCUGUUCAUCCCCACUAUUGCUCCUCUUUGAUGAGUGAUAAUGACAGCCUUUUCUUCGUGUUAUGCGAUGAAAUGCGCUCAGAUGUAACACCAAUCCGAAUCUCGCCCCUGCUCUUGUAUGAGAGAUGGGAAGCGUGACUUGACUUCAAACUCAAACACGCAUACCUGACUUAUACGCAACAUGAGAGCCUCGGCUGAGUAUCCGUUCGGACCUCCAAUCAGGCAAGAUUACCCGCUGAAUUUAA
Molecule: unclassified non-coding RNA, 343 nt
Filed under: uncultured fungus
Lineage: Eukaryota; Fungi
Description: sequence contains ITS1
Rfam family: 5.8S ribosomal RNA (bases 1-101)
Source: RNAcentral